This 497-nucleotide ribosomal RNA is filed under the name uncultured bacterium. RNAcentral describes it as "partial 16S ribosomal RNA". It matches the Rfam family "Bacterial small subunit ribosomal RNA", at positions 28 to 507 of the family's 1533-position model. The record is from RNAcentral.
GACGAACGCUGGCGGCGUGCCUAAUACAUGCAAGUUGAGCGAUGAAGAUUGGUGCUUGCACCAAUUUGAAGAGCAGCGAACGGGUGAGUAACGCGUGGGGAAUCUGCCUUUGAGCGGGGGACAACAUUUGGAAACGAAUGCUAAUACCGCAUAACAACUUUAAACAUAAGCUUUAAGUUUGAAAGAUGCAAUUGCAUCACUCAAAGAUGAUCCCGCGUUGUAUUAGCUAGUUGGUGAGGUAAAGGCUCACCAAGGCGAUGAUACAUAGCCGACCUGAGAGGGUGAUCGGCCACAUUGGGACUGAGACACGGCCCAAACUCCUACGGGAGGCAGCAGUAGGGAAUCUUCGGCAAUGGACGAAAGUCUGACCGAGCAACGCCGCGUGAGUGAAGAAGGUUUUCGGAUCGUAAAACUCUGUUGGUAGAGAAGAACGUUGGUGAGAGUGGAAAGCUCAUCAAGUGACGGUAACUACCCAGAAAGGGACGGCUAACUACGUG